Molecule: small RNA, 86 nt
Filed under: Algibacter lectus
Lineage: Bacteria; Pseudomonadati; Bacteroidota; Flavobacteriia; Flavobacteriales; Flavobacteriaceae
Description: Flavo-1 RNA
Rfam family: Flavo-1 RNA
Source: Rfam by way of RNAcentral
GUGAACCCGCGUUAGCGAUUGCAACGGCAUCCUUUUUUUGUUUCCGCCAAAGGCAAAAAAAGAUAUAGUGUAAAGCGCGACCCUUG